CUGGGGCCAGCGGCGGCCUAGGGAGGCUCAGCGGCUGGUGGGCAGACUCCGGAAUCUCUGGUGUCAGUAAAUAGUUCCAUCUCACUUGGAAUGACUUGCCAAGUGUUUUGAGGGAAGGACCAUCUCAAG
This is a long non-coding RNA of Lontra canadensis (Northern American river otter), 129 nucleotides long. RefSeq lists it as uncharacterized. Lineage: Eukaryota; Metazoa; Chordata; Mammalia; Carnivora; Mustelidae. The record is from RefSeq and is a predicted model, not a curated record. The transcript is spliced from 2 exons.